Long non-coding RNA from Bacillus rossius redtenbacheri, 3996 nucleotides. RefSeq lists it as uncharacterized. The transcript has 5 exons. The record is from RefSeq and is a predicted model, not a curated record. NCBI's taxonomy places the organism in Eukaryota, Metazoa, Arthropoda, Insecta, Phasmatodea, Bacillidae.
GUAUCCUAUGUUGAUGACGCAGACAGUGUCCAAGUUUCUGAGGUUUGGCAAAAGAAAAUGAAAAAACAAAAUACAUAUUUAUUUUGGAGAAAUUUCUGCUGUAUGUAGCACCAAGGCAGUGGGGAAAAAAAAAUUGUUUGUAAUGUAGACAAAUCUCUUCACUAUGUAGACAGCAUGCGAACAUGUAUAGGGUUAUAUGGUGGAGAUGGAGUCAUAUUCAUGGAAGAGGACUAUAAUAGUACUUUGUUUGGAAAGGAGUGGCUGUCAGGUGGUGGUCAUUGAUGCUUGUGUUGCAUUACUGUUUGGCGAAUCUCAAAUUACACAGAUUAGUACCAGCUGACUGGCUAGGCAGUUUUCUUUUGCACGGUAAGCAGCUGGAAUCUGGUGCUGACACAAAUUCAGUCAACCUCAGCACUGCAACAAAGUGUAUUAUACGUUUUAAUGUCUAGGAAUCAACAUUGGACACUCAUUGUUGCUGUCUUUGCCAACAAAAUUUUUACGUACGUGGAUUCACAAGGUCGUGAAGAUAUUGUCUUUGGGGAUGAAAUGUCUAGUACAGAAAUCGCUUUCAAGUAAUUUGCUACUUACCUGACAGAAAGAAAUACAUUUUCAAAUGAUAAAAUAAGUGUCCAUAUUUUGGAAAUAUGCAGCAAUAUCCUUCAUUCCAUUCAGAGUGAUGCUGGGAACUGUGGUGUAUUUGUUAUAUUCUUUAUCAAACAACUCAUAAUCAAUGCACCCCUGACUGAAUCAUUUGAUCCUGAUUUACUUUGUCAUGAACUUGUCCUGCGAAUUAAUAAAUUUGCUGAUUCAGGGAAGAAAGUUAGCCUCACGAGAUAUGUAAGUAAUGGGGGGAUAAAUUAUUUACACCCAUGAGCAAUGAAGAAUGGAAUUUUUAGGAACACCUCAUACUAUUGUGUCUAUGAUUUUGACGUUGUUUCCAAAUUUAUCGACACCUGUGGUUUUGAGAUAGUUUUGCGUGGCCCCGACUACUACAGUCUAUUUGAAGAUUGCACUUUUCGUAGAACGUUGUGAAACAGAUGAGGUAUUUUACGAACAGAUCGCUUUCAUACCAAUUUUUGCAGUUAAUAUUAUGCUGGUAAAACCUGAUGCUCUUCAUUCUUUAUACAUCUCCAAACUUCAUGACAUGCAUAACAAAGUUCUUUUGAUAAUGCCUUACAGUUUUCAAGAUGUGCAUUGGUGUCUGUUAGUGGCAAACUUACAGACACAUGAACUUUGGCACGUGGACCCUUUGAUUGGCGAUGGUGAUGAUGCAAUUUUAGAUAAUUUUUUGGAUUCCAGAAACAAGUUCUGUAUAGGAAAAAUUAGCAUUGAUGCCUGGCAAGUUUAGAAGCUGAAAGUAAAAAUACCUCUCCAAACCGACGUUAGUUGUGGCGUAUUUCUAAUUUUCUAUGCCUCUGUCUUUCUUCAGCAAAACAAUUUUCAAGAUACAUUCAGUUCAAGUAAUUUUCGUAAAAUGCUGAUAACUGCAUUGUUAGAGGAAUCAAGUGAUCUUUCGAAUUUGUGUCUCUAUUGUGGUAAAGAGGGUAAUAGGAAACAAAACCAUUGGGUUAUGUGUGACAUGUGUCACCGAUGGAUACAUUUUGAGCAGUGUCUUAAAGAAAACAAAUUAACAAAUGAUGUUUUGAAAGGUACACCACACCUGAAACUAAAGACAGUUACAAGGAGGCUCCUUCGAUUCUUGACCAUCAGGAGUCGGAGGAGUGUUUCAGUUUGUACACUAUCUCCCUUUCCACGUCUGUGGAAAUUUUUUGAAAAGAGAUGCCAAAUAUUGAACUUCAAUAUAUUCCUGAAAAGGGCUGUUAAGGCCAUCAAUCAGCAGAUAUGUUAUAACAGGACUCAAAUGAACUGUCAUAAACCAGUUGAGUUGGUGGACCUGUUCUCGGAGUUCUCUCGCAACAAUGAACCAAAGUGGGAUAUGUUUGAAAGGGAAGGUCUCCACUUGAACAAGAAAGGCCUGAGGCAUCUCAGUUACAUUUUGAGGCAGCAUUCAAUGGCGAGAUUUACAUGCUGAAGAAAAACAUCCUGCUGUUAUGUAAAUAAAAAGUGACUGGCAGCAGGAAAAGCAGUGUGCCAUAAUUAUGAAAACUCCCGAAGUAGAUUGUAGCCCCUUCUUCUAUAAAUCCCAUUAUGUUAUGGUGGAACAUUCCAACAACUAAGUUGUGGUUUCCAUGCUACAGUACAGUGAACUCAGCAGAGUUUGGUUUUACAGUUAAUGACAACUUUCAAUUAGUUAAUUUUUUAUGUAAUUUUUAUAAUACCAACCUCUUGUAAGUUGUACUGUGCUGGCUAACCUUCAGUGAUCAAUAACGUAUCAUAUAAACUGUUUAGGUAAACUAAAGAUGAAUUAAUUUGUUAAAAUUAUUUUUAGUACCUGUGUGUGUGUGAGGUGUUUGCAAGUGAAGACCAUAAGCUAUGUAAAAUUGAAAAAAUUUCUGUAAUUUCCAUAUACAUGAAAGGAAGAAGGUUUGGCAACAUUGCGAAAUAUGGGUUUGAGGUAUUUUUUUAAAUGUAUAAAAAUCCCUACAACUCCCAUAAUAUAAUAAGUAUGAAAACAUAAAACUUUUGUCUGAAAAUUUUUUUCUUUGGAAGAACCAUUGCAGUAAGGUGUUGAAAUUCAUAGUCAAAAACAUGAACGAUAAUCUGUGUUCGAAACAAAAGUAUACAAAGAAUUUUUUUUCCACUAGGUGCUGUUGUAUAUACAACUUUUGCUGGUGUUAGUAACAUAAAUACUUAUUUUUUAACCACGUGAAGUUUUUUUUACGUAAACUUUUUAUUUGGGAUAUUAAAAGUUCGUACUCCAGGAUCAACAGCAAUGAUUUCAACAAUUGAAACUUGAUUUACUUGUUCCUGUCCCAUUUAAAUUAAGCUGAAAUCACAAUACCACGACGGGCACGACACGACAGGCCUACAAACUCAGUAGCCAAUGAAAUACAAGAUUGCCACCGCUGCCGCCACUUUUCAUCAUUGGACGAAGCCCUCACACGAGGGAAGAACAAGCCAUUUGAGGGGCUCUUGACUUCCCAUUCUGUAAUCACUAAGUUUGAGUGCUAACUCCCCCUGAGCCUCUCGUCUUUUAUUGAUCAUUUCUGGGGUCACCAGGGCAAACCCAGCAGCUGAUCUUGUAGGGGAAGAGUGUUGCCACAUUUCCACCAGAUACCCUUUUGUUUUACCCCCUCUCUCUGCCCACUGAAGUAGAGGGUGAGGGCAGGGGUCCCCCACUUACCCAUGUUUCCUAAAACCGCCGAAAUUUGGAAUAUUGUGGGUCUUCUGGUAAUGAGAAUUUAUUUAUGAAUUUAGCCGAAAUGUGUUAUUUCAUAAGCUCGUUAGUGAUCGGGGAAAGCGACCGAGGCUCCAGGGGAGUGUUAAUUCUUAUAAUAAUUUAUUAUUAAUAAUUUAGUAUUGAAUUUACUUUAAUUGAGAAGCUUAAUUGGGCCUAAAAACGUAACGGAAGUCGGUGCUCCGUUAUGAUUGGUUAGAAGUGUAAUUGGCUCUGGCCAAUCAUAGCUCAGUUUUAACUAGGUGUUAACACUUUAUUUUCCUGUGCGGCUUUAAUGAGAAAAUACUUAGUUACGUAAUUAUUUGUGACUUCAUUAAUUUUAAAUUAAUGUGUUCGAAAAAUACAGCGUCUUUGUAUUUGUUUGCGGGAAGAAAGUGGUUGUAAAGUGUCGAAGUCUGUACUUUGCUGUUACGUCAGAAUUUCCGUGGCUAAGGAAAUGGUACUAGGAUUUGAGGCAGAUAAAAAUUACGACCAUUACUCGCAGCCCGUGAAAGUUGUUAGGGCCUGAACGAGCAGGAGGGGUUUUAUAGAAGGUUCGGUCACUGUACUGGAAAGGAGAAUGUAAGGUUUCACGUGAGCCAUGAAGGCUACAAAGUUGGCGUCGCGUAGGAACUGCAUGAGGUCGCGGAGAUCGGAGAGUGCGGACUGGAUGAGAGUGGAAGAUCUUGGAAACGGACAGGUAUUGGGGGAGGGGGGGG